This 759-nucleotide unclassified non-coding RNA is filed under the name Hevea brasiliensis (rubber tree). Lineage: Eukaryota; Viridiplantae; Streptophyta; Magnoliopsida; Malpighiales; Euphorbiaceae. The record is from RNAcentral.
UUAGGGUUAUUAUGUCACUAUGUCUCUACAUGAGAGUAGGAAAUUUCAUCCAUCAAAUUGCAUUUCUCAUUCUUAUUUCAUAAAAUGAUUCUCAUUUCCCAAAGUGAAUAAAAUAAAAAUAAAAAUACAAAGAAGUCAUUAUGAUUGCACUUUCUUUUUUUCUUGAAAGCACCAUAAUUUAUUUAAAUAUGUAUGCCUAAUUUAUAUUUGAAAUUAAAUAAUUUAGUUGAUGCUUUACUGAUGUAGGACCAAUAGGACAAAGGAGAAUAGAAACAAAUUGUCAAAAGGAACAAAUUCUCAAUUUUAUCCAUUUGAAUCUGAAUUUCAAUAAUAUAUUUUUUUAAUGCAAUCUUACUUCCUCUGAAUUGUAUCUAGAAACUCUAUAUUCGUAGUUGCCUCCCUGUUAGUCCAUAUUGAUGAUUUUGCUGGCUCCCUGUCUUGGUUUAUAAGAUGGUUUGUUCUUGAGUGCUGCUCUAUCAAGGUUGAAGUGCUAUCUUCUAGUAAAUGGCCUAGAAAAACAACUUUAGAAUUUAGAUAUUUCGCCAGCACAAAAGAAAAUAAUUUUCCCCCUUUUUCCUAUUAAUUUAUUGUUUUCUUGGUUACUUUGCAUAAAUUUAGCAGUAAACCACAUUAUUGGUAAUACAAUUACAUUUCAGAUCUUCUCCAGAUGAUUUUUUCGAGAUUCCUCGUACAAAAUGAUAACCUUUAACCUAUCAAACUAUCUAUCUGGGGAAAUCUUAUUUUAUUGGCUAACAGAGA